This 253-nucleotide ribosomal RNA is filed under the name uncultured bacterium. Its description in RNAcentral is "partial 16S ribosomal RNA". It matches the Rfam family "Bacterial small subunit ribosomal RNA", at positions 524 to 776 of the family's 1533-position model. The record is from RNAcentral.
GACAGAGGUGGCUAGCGUUGUUCGGUGUCACUGGGCUUAAAGGGUGUGUAGGCGGCUAGACAAGCGCGUUGUGAAAUCCCUCGGCUUAACCGAGGAAUUGCUUCGCGUACUAUCUGGCUUGAGGCAGGUAUGGGUGCGGGGAACUGUUGGUGGAGCGGUGGAAUGCGUAGAUAUCAACAGGAACGCCGGUGGUGAAGACGCUGCACUGGACCUGUCCUGACGCUGAGACACGAAAGCGUGGGGAUCGAACGGG